AUGAAUAAACUUGGUCGAGCUGUUGCUGGUCCUUCGGGGCAUGUGCACGCUUGCCACCAAUUUUAACCACCUGUGCACUUUUUGUAGACUGGAAACGAUUCUCGAGGCAACUCGGAUUGAGGACUGUUGUGCGCAAGCCAGCUGUUCUUGUGUUUCUCAGUCUAUGUUUUUCAUAUACCCCGAAUGUAUGUAUUAGAAUGUAUUGCUAGGCCUUUAGUGCCUUUAAAAUCAAAUA
Molecule: unclassified non-coding RNA, 235 nt
Filed under: uncultured Clitopilus
Lineage: Eukaryota; Fungi; Basidiomycota; Agaricomycetes; Agaricales; Entolomataceae
Description: sequence contains ITS1
Source: RNAcentral